CGCCUCUCCCCUCCUCUCUCUCCUUACUUCCUCUCUCUCUCUUCUUCUUCAACCAAAGCAGCCAAUCGACAGACUCCUUUCACCUUUCACAGACCAUGCAUGGCCAAAUGUGGGAAAGAAAUUAAUGUUUGUACCCCUCCCUCCGUCAGUGUUCAACCGUUGAAAGAGAUCGAUUCUCGUCUUCUUCUUGGUUGUCUGUUGACAAUCUGAAACGGUUUUAAUUGAUUUUGUUCAUUUGUGAAAUUGAAACCUCUGUCUUAUCAGUUCCUUUUUCAUAUUUCGGGUACAAGUUUUAAUGGGUUUUUGUUCUUUUCUUCGUGGUCUCUGAUGGUUGUCAUAGCAAAUCUGAACGUUGUUGACCAAAGAAUCCCGCCCAAUUUUUAGUUUUGAAACCCUAGCAAACCCUAGAUCUUCCCCCUAUAAAUAAUCGUUUCUGGGUUCGUUUAUGAGGAGGUCUUUUUCGGAGCGGCGGAAAUCCCUUGAAAUUGCUAGUCCUUGAGCCGCACAAAAUUCCCCUAGAAAAAUAAGGUCUGGAGCCGCAAAAAUCCCCCCUAAAAAUAUAUCAGUUUGUAGUAGUCAUAUAUUUUGGUGAUUGAUAAGAAAUAUACUAAAUCAUUUAUGUCCCUUUUUCGCCCUGGGUAUUGAUUCGGAUCUAUACGAACUUGGAGUGUGGUGUUCGAGUAGAUAUCGAGACCUUCGCCUCACUUCGCUGCACCCGAAGAAGCCCAACAUAAUAUUCUCGAGUCAUCCCCUAUCAGCCCAGUCCGCAGCAAAACAAAAAGGAACGGAAAUUCUGGGCCAAGGCCCAAUAGCGUGAACAGUUCUCAGCAGUCCAAAAAUGGGCUGCGCCAUUCUCAACAGUAGACUGUUCACAGCAGCCCAAAAAUGGGCUAAGCCCAUCUCAUUACAUUUUUUACACUUCUGUUUUAUGUUGUUGCAUUUAACUUGUAUUAUGUGACUAACUUUUUAUUUUGUUUUAUUUUCUUAAUUUAGGUGAACCUUAGCAAAUUUAGUGGGUUAGCUUUAGUAUAAUGGGUAGUAAAUUUAAGAGAGAAACUCAAUUAAUACCAUAAGUUUCAUUUUCUUCUUUUUACAUUAAAGUUAUU
Long non-coding RNA from Lycium barbarum (goji berry), 1106 nucleotides. RefSeq lists it as uncharacterized. The transcript is spliced from 2 exons. Lineage: Eukaryota; Viridiplantae; Streptophyta; Magnoliopsida; Solanales; Solanaceae. The record is from RefSeq and is a predicted model, not a curated record.